GGACUACUAGGGUUUCUAAUCCUGUUCGCUCCCCACGCUUUCGCUCCUCAGCGUCAGUAACGGCCCAGAGACCUGCCUUCGCCAUUGGUGUUCUUCCCGAUAUCUACACAUUCCACCGUUACACCGGGAAUUCCAGUCUCCCCUACCGCACUCCAGCCCGCCCGUACCCGGCGCAGAUCCACCGUUAAGCGAUGGACUUUCACACCGGACGCGACGAACCGCCUACGAGCCCUUUACGCCCAAUAAUUCCGGAUAACGCUUGCACCCUACGUAUUACCGCGGCUGCUGGCACGUAGUUAGCCGGUGCUUAUUCGAAAGGUACACUCACCCGAAGGCUUGCUCCCGAUCAAAAGCGGUUUACAACCCGAAGGCCGUCAUCCCGCACGCGGCGUCGCUGCAU
RNAcentral lists this unclassified non-coding RNA (400 nucleotides) under uncultured fungus. RNAcentral describes it as "sequence contains ITS1". Lineage: Eukaryota; Fungi. The record is from RNAcentral.